Molecule: ribosomal RNA, 229 nt
Filed under: uncultured bacterium
Lineage: Bacteria
Description: partial 16S ribosomal RNA
Rfam family: Bacterial small subunit ribosomal RNA
Source: RNAcentral
CAUGUAGGCGGCUCGCCAAGUCUGAUGUGAAAGCCCGGGGCUCAACCCCGGAAGUGCAUUGGAAACUGGCGAACUUGAGUACGGGAGAGGAAAGUGGAAUUUCGAGUGUAGGGGUGAAAUCCGUAGAUAUUCGAAGGAACACCAGUGGCGAAGGCGGCUUUCUGGACCGAUACUGACGCUGAGAUGCGAAAGCGUGGGGAGCAAACAGGAUUAGAUACCAUGGUAGUCC